This 410-nucleotide ribosomal RNA is filed under the name uncultured soil bacterium. Its description in RNAcentral is "bacterial SSU rRNA". It matches the Rfam family "Bacterial small subunit ribosomal RNA", at positions 26 to 431 of the family's 1533-position model. The record is from RNAcentral.
AGGACGAACGCUGGCGGCGUGCUUAACACAUGCAAGUCGAGCGGUAAGGCCUUUCGGGGUACACGAGCGGCGAACGGGUGAGUAACACGUGGGUGAUCUGCCCUGCACUCUGGGAUAAGCCUGGGAAACUGGGUCUAAUACCGGAUAUGACCUGCUCUCGCAGUGGGGGUGGGUGGAAAGAUUUAUCGGUGCAGGAUGGGCCCGCGGCCUAUCAGCUUGGUUGGUGGGGUAAUGGCCUACCAAGGCGACGACGGGUAGCCGACCUGAGAGGGUGACCGGCCACGACUGGGACUGAGACACGGCCCAGACUCCUACGGGAGCAGCAGUGGGAAUAUGCAACAAUGGGACGAAAGCCUAGAUGCAGGCGACGGCCGCGUGAGGGAUGGAAGGCCGUUCGGGUUACGUAAACC